This 423-nucleotide ribosomal RNA is filed under the name uncultured microorganism. Its description in RNAcentral is "bacterial SSU rRNA". It matches the Rfam family "Bacterial small subunit ribosomal RNA", at positions 9 to 429 of the family's 1533-position model. The record is from RNAcentral.
GAGUUUGAUCAUGGCUCAGAUUGAACGCUGGCGGCAUGCCUUACACAUGCAAGUCGAACGGCAGCAUGAUCUAGCUUGCUAGAUUGAUGGCGAGUGGCGAACGGGUGAGUAAUACAUCGGAACGUGCCCUGUAGUGGGGGAUAACUAGUCGAAAGAUUAGCUAAUACCGCAUACGACCUGAGGGUGAAAGUGGGGGACCGCAAGGCCUCAUGCUAUAGGAGCGGCCGAUGUCUGAUUAGCUAGUUGGUGGGGUAAAGGCCCACCAAGGCGACGAUCAGUAGCUGGUCUGAGAGGACGAUCAGCCACACUGGGACUGAGACACGGGCCCAGACUCCUACGGGAGGCAGCAGUGGGGAAUUUUGGACAAUGGGCGAAAGCCUGAUCCAGCAAUGCCGCGUGUGCGAAGAAGGCCUCGGUUGUAAG